RNAcentral lists this ribosomal RNA (541 nucleotides) under Mesocriconema xenoplax. RNAcentral's name for it is "partial large subunit ribosomal RNA". It matches the Rfam family "Eukaryotic large subunit ribosomal RNA", at positions 420 to 813 of the family's 3401-position model. The record is from RNAcentral. Lineage: Eukaryota; Metazoa; Nematoda; Chromadorea; Rhabditida; Criconematidae.
CGGAUAGAGCCAGCGAAGUCGCUCGUAUUCAGCCAAAAGUCCGGGGUUGCCUGUCGUCGUGUUUCUAAUCGAGCACGGCGGUUUGUCUUCUCUGGAUUGAGGUGCAUUUGCGGGCGUUUGCGCUGAGACUUGCGAGGCAGCUGCGGGACCGGCGUCUAGAGGCUUCCCAUUGGGUUGAACCUGGGCGCCGUUACAGCUGUUUGCCUUGCUCGUACUGAUCUGGCCUACGGACCCUGCUCGUGCUGUUGUCAACUGGCCAAGGCAUCGCAUGCGAUGUCUAGCCUGGGGGCUGCAGCGCGGGUUGGUGUUCCCGGAUCGCCUCUCGGUGUAGAAGCUGGUCAUCUCUCCGACCCGUCUUGAAACACGGACCAAGGAGUUUAGCGUAUGCGCGAGUCAUUGGGUGUUAAAACUCACAGGCGCAAUGAAAGUGAAGGCUCGGUCGCCGGGCUGACAUGCGAGUGCCGCGGCUUCGGCCCAGGCAUGCAGCAUGGUCCCAUUGCAAUCGUUUACGAUGCAGUGGAGACAGAGCGUAUGCGCUGAG